Molecule: long non-coding RNA, 849 nt
Filed under: Mytilus galloprovincialis (Mediterranean mussel)
Lineage: Eukaryota; Metazoa; Mollusca; Bivalvia; Mytilida; Mytilidae
Source: RNAcentral
ACUAUUGACAUAAUUUCACCAAAUAUUAAGUUGUAUCUUGGGUGCGCACAUACUUUUCCAAUCUCAAAUAUACUUAAAAUUUGAUGAACAAGAAUGUGUCCCCAGUACACGGAUGCCCCAUCCGCACUAUCAUUUUCUAUGUUCAGUGGACCGUGAAAAUGGGGUUAAAUCUCUAAUUUGGAAUUAAAAUUAGAAAUCAUAUCAUACAAGAACAUAUGUACUAAGUUUCAAGUUGAUUAGACUUCAACUUCAUCAAAAACUACCUCGACCAAAACUUAAACCCUGAAGCGGGACAGACGGACGAACGAACAGACGGACGGACGAACGAACGAACGGACGCACAGACUAGAAAACAUAAUGCCCAUAAAUGGGGCAUAAAAACAAGGUAAAUGAAGAAAUUUUACAAAAUAUGCAAAUUUUGUCAUGGUUUGUUGCCACGGUAGCUUGUUCAAUGUGUAAUUUGUUUUUAUUUUCUGAGUACCUUAGUCUGAUUUGGACAAAUUUAAGAAUAUGCAUGAAAACUUAAAUUUGCAGUUAUAUUUUGGCCAAAUAAAGUCCCUUUUGCCCCUACUCCUUUGUCAAAUUUACUCUGGUUCAACAUAAGCUCUUCCCUAUACAUAUUUUCCUUAGGAGUUAUGAUUAGGGCACUGUUACUAAAGUUUUCAAACUAAAUCCCACAAUUUUGAUAUUUUCAUCUUUGUCAAAGGGAAAUAACUGGAAAGACAAAAAGAGAAAUUUGUCAAAAUUGAACUUGAUCUGUGUUUAAUGUUUCUUGACAAUAUUCAUAAAUUUUAAAAGAAUUUGAUUGAUUCUUUCUAAAAUUAUCCAAAGAAAAACAAAUAUUUAGCU